GUCCGUGAAAAUGUUUGCUUCAGUAUAUUUUAUGAAAAUAUUUAAAACUACCAAGAAAUCAUGCAUGCAAGGGUCGGGCAUACUUCAAGAAAUGUUUAUUUGUUUAUUAUGAGGGGAAAAAACUAUCAAGAUAUACCCUGCAUAUACUCAAGCAUACAUGGAAAUAAUUAUUUACUGUUCUGAAAAUAUUAAUAAAACAACGACAUGAACUAUUGUGUGAUUUUAAUUACUGUCAUCACAAUCUUUAUUGGAUUUAUCAACUUAUUUAUGGCUUAUGUCACACCUUUUGUUUGUU
This 295-nucleotide long non-coding RNA is filed under the name Mytilus galloprovincialis (Mediterranean mussel). Lineage: Eukaryota; Metazoa; Mollusca; Bivalvia; Mytilida; Mytilidae. The record is from RNAcentral.